This 495-nucleotide unclassified non-coding RNA is filed under the name Hevea brasiliensis (rubber tree). Lineage: Eukaryota; Viridiplantae; Streptophyta; Magnoliopsida; Malpighiales; Euphorbiaceae. The record is from RNAcentral.
GGAACAUUUAACAUUACCUUCAGAUGUGCUCAAAAUGUUAACGUUUCUCAUAUCAAAACUAGUUUUCUUUGAGAACAACUAACAUUACCUUCAGGUUUCGAUGUUAUUACGUGUUUCAGCUUCUUUUUUUUCCCCUUGUAUUUGAGAUGUGUGAAAUUUUCUGUACUUUCAUUAUAGCAUUAUUGUUCAUGACUGCUGUAUCAGUGCUGUAACAUUGUACUGUCCAGGGAAGGCGCAUAUAAAUAGAAUGAUGAUUUCUGGCCCAUUUUUAGCCUAGAACAGAAUCAUUACUGAACAACUAACACCAUCAACAUGGUAGUACAUUAACUAGAGUUUCUGCCCUAUUUGUGUUAUUUUUAAUCAUGUUCAUUUAACUCUCCCUUGACUACUUAAAAAUGCUCCCAACCAUAAAUUUUUGCAUUUCAUAGGUAGUUUACUUCUUGUAGUCUGACUUGGUUCAUUUGUAUUAAUAAUCUUUCAGGCUGUGUCAUUGAC